Molecule: ribosomal RNA, 1480 nt
Filed under: uncultured marine bacterium
Lineage: Bacteria
Description: bacterial SSU rRNA
Rfam family: Bacterial small subunit ribosomal RNA
Source: RNAcentral
GAGUUUGAUCCUGGCUCAGGAUGAACGCUAGCGGCAGGCUUAACACAUGCAAGUCGAGGGGUAACGGGGAAGCUUGCUUCCGCCGACGACCGGCGCACGGGUGCGUAACGCGUAUACAAUCUACCUUAUACUGGGGUAUAGCCUUUAGAAAUGAAGAUUAACCCCCCAUAGUCUCUUAGAGUGGCAUCACUUCUAGAGUAAAGGUUACGGUAUAAGAUGAGUAUGCGUUCUAUUAGUUUGUUGGUGUGGUAACGGCACACCAAGACUACGAUAGAUAGGGGCCCUGAGAGGGGGAUCCCCCACACUGGUACUGAGACACGGACCAGACUCCUACGGGAGGCAGCAGUGAGGAAUAUUGGACAAUGGAGGCAACUCUGAUCCAGCCAUGCCGCGUGCAGGAAGACUGCCCUAUGGGUUGUAAACUGCUUUUAUACAGGAAGAAACACCUCUACGUGUAGAGGCUUGACGGUACUGUAAGAAUAAGGAUCGACUAACUCCGUGCCAGCAGCCGCGGUAAUACGGAGGAUCCAAGCGUUAUCCGGAAUCAUUGGGUUUAAAGGGUCCGUAGGUGGAUAAUUAAGUCAGAGGUGAAAUCUUGCAGCUCAACUGUAAAAUUGCCUUUGAAACUGGUUAUCUUGAGUUAUUAUGAAGUAGUUAGAAUAUGUAGUGUAGCGGUGAAAUGCAUAGAUAUUACAUAGAAUACCAAUUGCGAAGGCAGAUUACUAAUAAUCAACUGACACUGAUGGACGAAAGCGUGGGUAGCGAACAGGAUUAGAUACCUUGGUAGUCCACGCCGUAAACGAUGGUUACUAGCUGUUUGGACUUCGGUCUGAGUGGCUAAGCGAAAGUGAUAAGUAACCCACCUGGGGAGUACGUUCGCAAGAAUGAAACUCAAGGGAAUUGACGGGGGCCCGCACAAGCGGUGGAGCAUGUGGUUUAAUUCGAUGAUACGCGAGGAACCUUACCAGGGCUUAAAUGUAAGUUGCAUUAGUUAGAGAUAGCUAUUUCUUCGGACCACUUACAAGGUGCUGCAUGGUUGUCGUCAGCUCGUGCCGUGAGGUGUCAGGUUAAGUCCUAUAACGAGCGCAACCCCUGUUGUUAGUUGCCAGCGAGUCAUGUCGGGAACUCUAGCAAGACUGCCAGUGCAAACUGUGAGGAAGGUGGGGAUGACGUCAAAUCAUCACGGCCCUUACGUCCUGGGCUACACACGUGCUACAAUGGUAGGUACAGAGAGCAGCCACUGCGCGAGCAGGAGCGAAUCUAUAAAACCUAUCACAGUUCGGAUCGGAGUCUGCAACUCGACUCCGUGAAGCUGGAAUCGCUAGUAAUCGGAUAUCAGCCAUGAUCCGGUGAAUACGUUCCCGGGCCUUGUACACACCGCCCGUCAAGCCAUGGAAGUUGGAAGUGCCUGAAGUCCGUCACCGUAAGGAGCGGCCUAGGGUAAAGUCGAUAACUAGGGCUAAGUCGUAACAAGGUAACC